UACGGAGGAUGCGAGCGUUAUCCGGAUUUAUUGGGUUUAAAGGGUGCGUAGGCGGCCUGUUAAGUCAGCGGUAAAAGCCCGGGGCUCAACCCCGGCGAGCCGUUGAAACUGGCUGGCUGGAGUUGGCGAGAGGUAUGCGGAAUGCGCGGUGUAGCGGUGAAAUGCUUAGAUAUCGCGCAGAACUCCGAUUGCGAAGGCAGCAUGCCGGCGCCACACUGACGCUGAGGCACGAAAGCGUGGGGAUCAAA
This 248-nucleotide ribosomal RNA is filed under the name uncultured Muribaculaceae bacterium. Its description in RNAcentral is "partial 16S ribosomal RNA". It matches the Rfam family "Bacterial small subunit ribosomal RNA", at positions 524 to 772 of the family's 1533-position model. The record is from RNAcentral. Lineage: Bacteria; Pseudomonadati; Bacteroidota; Bacteroidia; Bacteroidales; Muribaculaceae.